RNAcentral lists this ribosomal RNA (434 nucleotides) under uncultured bacterium. RNAcentral describes it as "partial 16S ribosomal RNA". It matches the Rfam family "Bacterial small subunit ribosomal RNA", at positions 29 to 507 of the family's 1533-position model. The record is from RNAcentral.
AGCGAACGCUGGCGGCAGGCCUAACACAUGCAAGUCGAACGAACCUUUCGGGGUUAGUGGCGGACGGGUGAGUAACACGUGGGAACGUGCCUUUAGGUUCGGAAUAACUCAGGGAAACUUGUGCUAAUACCGAAUGUGCCCUUCGGGGGAAAGAUUUAUCGCCUUUAGAGCGGCCCGCGUCUGAUUAGCUAGUUGGUUGAGGUAAUGGCUCACCAAGGCGACGAUCAGUAGCUGGUCUGAGAGGAUGAUCAGCCACAUUGGGACUGAGACACGGCCCAAACUCCUACGGGAGGCGGCAGUGGGGAAUCUUGCGCAAUGGGCGAAAGCCUGACGCAGCCAUGCCGCGUGAAUGAUGAAGGUCUUAGGAUUGUAAAAUUCUUUCACCGGGGACGAUAAUGACGGUACCCGGAGAAGAAGCCCCGGCUAACUUCGUG